This 458-nucleotide ribosomal RNA is filed under the name Rhodotorula sp. DY31-W1304-MS7. RNAcentral's name for it is "eukaryotic LSU rRNA". The stretch from base 51 to 204 matches the Rfam family "5.8S ribosomal RNA". The record is from RNAcentral. Lineage: Eukaryota; Fungi; Basidiomycota; Microbotryomycetes; Sporidiobolales; Sporidiobolaceae.
CCUUAGUAUAAGAAUGUAAUAGUCUCUUAAUUGAGCAUAAAUAAAAACAAAACUUUCAGCAACGGAUCUCUUGGCUCUCGCAUCGAUGAAGAACGCAGCGAAUUGCGAUAAGUAAUGUGAAUUGCAGAAUUCAGUGAAUCAUCGAAUCUUUGAACGCACCUUGCACUCUUUGGUAUUCCGAAGAGUAUGUCUGUUUGAGUGUCAUGAAACUCUCAACCCCCCUAUUUUGUAAUGAGAUGGGCGUGGGCUUGGAUUAUGGUUGUCUGUUGGCGUAAUUGCCGGCUCAACUGAAAUACACGAGCAACCCUACUGAAAUAAACGGUUUGACUUGGCGUAAUAAUUAUUUCGCUAAGGACGUUUUCUUCAUUUAUAAGAGGUGCUUCUAAUUCGCUUCUAAUAGCAUUUAAGCUUUAGACCUCAAAUCAGUCAGGACUACCCGCUGAACUUAAGCAUAUCAA